UGGGGAAUAUUGCACAAUGGGCGCAAGCCUGAUGCAGCCAUGCCGCGUGUGUGAAGAAGGCCUUCGGGUUGUAAAGCACUUUCAGCGAGGAGGAAGGUGGUGAGCUUAAUACGUUCAUCAAUUGACGUUACUCGCAGAAGAAGCACCGGCUAACUCCGUG
Molecule: ribosomal RNA, 160 nt
Filed under: uncultured bacterium
Lineage: Bacteria
Description: partial 16S ribosomal RNA
Rfam family: Bacterial small subunit ribosomal RNA
Source: RNAcentral